This 497-nucleotide ribosomal RNA is filed under the name uncultured bacterium. RNAcentral describes it as "partial 16S ribosomal RNA". It matches the Rfam family "Bacterial small subunit ribosomal RNA", at positions 28 to 507 of the family's 1533-position model. The record is from RNAcentral.
GAUGAACGCUGGCGGCGUGCCUAAUACAUGCAAGUCGAGCGAACAGAUGAGGAGCUUGCUCCUCUGACGUUAGCGGCGGACGGGUGAGUAACACGUGGAUAACCUACCUAUAAGACUGGGAUAACUUCGGGAAACCGGAGCUAAUACCGGAUAAUAUAUUGAACCGCAUGGUUCAAUAGUGAAAGACGGUUUUGCUGUCACUUAUAGAUGGAUCCGCGCCGCAUUAGCUAGUUGGUAAGGUAACGGCUUACCAAGGCAACGAUGCGUAGCCGACCUGAGAGGGUGAUCGGCCACACUGGAACUGAGACACGGUCCAGACUCCUACGGGAGGCAGCAGUAGGGAAUCUUCCGCAAUGGGCGAAAGCCUGACGGAGCAACGCCGCGUGAGUGAUGAAGGUCUUCGGAUCGUAAAACCCUGUUAUUAGGGAAGAACAAAUGUGUAAGUAACUAUGCACGUCUUGACGGUACCUAAUCAGAAAGCCACGGCUAACUAUGUG